UACAGAGGUCUCAAGCGUUGUUCGGAUUCAUUGGGCGUAAAGGGUGCGUAGGUGGCGCCGUAAGUCAGGUGUGAAAUUUCGGAGCUUAACUCCGAAACUGCAUUUGAUACUGCGGUGCUUGAGGACUGGAGAGGAGACUGGAAUUUACGGUGUAGCAGUGAAAUGCGUAGAGAUCGUAAGGAAGACCAGUGGCGAAGGCGGGUCUCUGGACAGUUCCUGACACUGAGGCACGAAGGCCGGGGGAGCAAACGGG
RNAcentral lists this ribosomal RNA (253 nucleotides) under uncultured bacterium. RNAcentral describes it as "partial 16S ribosomal RNA". It matches the Rfam family "Bacterial small subunit ribosomal RNA", at positions 524 to 776 of the family's 1533-position model. The record is from RNAcentral.